UAUGUUUAUACUUUAUACUGUUACUAUAUAUAUUGUCUUUGCUCGUUUUAAUUUUGAUUUUUGUGAUUUUUGUAUUGGUUUUGGUGUUUUUACUCUACAAUCUGAAGUUGUUCUCUUUGCUUUGUAUUUCAAAUCUCGGGUUAGAAAUUUUCCUUCGCAGAUUCACACAGAACUUUCCCCUUCGCUAUUCACCAGCAGUAGCCGGGCUCGGGCGUCAAAGUUUUGAGAUUAUAGAUGGACCACUUAUACAGUACUCAGGAUCGUUUAGUACGCGGACUAAAUUAUUCGGGGAUUAUAAUUCUAAAAUUAUAAUCCCUGGACUAGUUUACCCAGGUGGGAAAAUAUAAUCCCAAGUUUAAUGGGAUAAGGAAAAGGCUCUUGCAUUUCUUUACUAAAGCUGGUCGGUGUUGAUGACCUCGAAUAAAAAUUGAGACGACAAGCACUUCUAGGGGACAAGUUCACUUCUUUUUAAUGCAUGUGAUUGUAGUUGUGAAGGGUAAUCUCUCAAGCAUCCGAUUCGAGGGGGUGCUUAAAUCAGAGUAGAAGGUGUAUAUAUUUGGCCGUUCAGACAACUUCGGAUAGUAGCUUACAGGUUAUUCAGGGGUACGAAAAGUUCGUGGGCCUACAUUACUCAAAGAUGUUUGGAAUCUACCACCGGGGAAGACAAUUGUUGUGCAGUUUAAUUGUCGUAAUCAAGCUAUUGGAAAAGAGGUUCAAAAGCUUGCUAGCUUUCUAGGCAUCGUCGCUAGAACUCCGGAACUAACACCAUUAAACGUAGAUGAUUGGCGAGCAUUUGAUAAAGAAGAAAUUGGUGGAGUUUAAGAAAUUCUCAAUCCCAAUACGUGGAGAAGAGUUUAUAAAAAAGUCAAUAGAGAAGAAACGGAAGGACUAUAAAUGUGAUCUGAAGACUAUGUAUGUGACCAAAUAUAAGACCAAAGAUGCCUUGAUGAAAAAUAGACCAAGUCACAUACCAAUGGAUCAAUGGAUUGGUCUCACCUCGUAUUGGCUUUCUGAUAAAGCAAAGAAGCGUAGUCAAGCAAAUAGAAUCAGUAGGGCUAAGCAAAAGAUGCCUCACACCGGAGGAUCCAAAAGCAUAGCAACUUUGAUGAAUGAAAAGGCUAUAGAUGGAAUAGAACCUACACGUGAAGAAGUUUACAUAUUAACUCAUACAAUGCGUAAGGAUGGUAAACCACCGGAUGAGGAGUCUUCAAAUACUAUUGUCUUAACGAAUAUGCUCAACCUGUGUCAUAAAUUAUUUGUUUAUCUUCUACUUUACUGUGUCAUAAAUUGUUAUCUCUAUUACUCUCGGGACAUGAUGAAUGAGAGGUUGAGUAAUGGCGAGACAUCUAAUGAACAACAUCGUGGUGAUGUUGCUGGGGAAGGAGAUGUGUAUUCUCAAGUGUUUGGAACUGAAAAAAGUGGUUAUGUUCGUGGUUUAGGACUUGGUCCUACCCCUUCUCUAUUACGGGGUGGUAAAUCUUCCUUACGAAAUGCUGUUGCUGAUGGUUUGUCUAAUGAGGCUGCACAUAAGUUAGAACAAGAGAUAAAGAAGUUAAAGGAGUUGAAUAAAAAAUAGGAUGAAGAAAUUGCUUUGAUGAAAAAAAAUCAAUAUAUGCUAGUGUCGGAAUUAUCAUGGAUGAGACAAUUUAUGUGCAAAUAUGCUUCUACUGAAUUAUAUGGGCCUCAAAACAAUGGAAUCACUACUAGACAGGUUCAUGAUGCCAAUAGCGGCAAUAAACAAGCAACGCAAGCACCACGGAUGCCAUCAGUGACAUCAAGUUCCUUCUUCUCGCAAGGAACUUAAACAAGGAAAUUUGGCUCUAAGGUCACACAACGAUAGCUGACAAGAGUAGCACAUUGUUAAUAAAAGGAAGAGAGGAUCGAGAAUAUCACAUUGUUGAUGAGAGACUCGGUUUCCAAUUUGAUGUUUAGUUGUCUUGUACAUAAGGAUACUACAUUUCUUACAAGUCGAUAAAUAAGUUGUUGUGUCGGAUUUGUUAGUUCUUGUUUCAAGUAAAUGACAUUGUUUUGAGUUUGAUAAUUCUUCUAGUUAGAAGGUAUUGCUCUUGUGAUC
This is a non-coding RNA of Nicotiana tabacum (common tobacco), 2074 nucleotides long. The record is from RefSeq and is a predicted model, not a curated record. Lineage: Eukaryota; Viridiplantae; Streptophyta; Magnoliopsida; Solanales; Solanaceae.